RNAcentral lists this ribosomal RNA (508 nucleotides) under uncultured bacterium. Its description in RNAcentral is "bacterial SSU rRNA". It matches the Rfam family "Bacterial small subunit ribosomal RNA", at positions 28 to 520 of the family's 1533-position model. The record is from RNAcentral.
GAUGAACGCUAGCUACAGGCUUAACACAUGCAAGUCGAGGGGCAGCAUGAACUUAGCUUGCUAAGUUUGAUGGCGACCGGCGCACGGGUGAGUAACACGUAUCCAACCUUCCGUUUACUCAGGGAUAGCCUUUCGAAAGAAAGAUUAAUACCUGAUAGUAUGGUGAGAUUGCAUGAUAACACCAUUAAAGAUUUAUUGGUAAACGAUGGGGAUGCGUUCCAUUAGGUAGUAGGCGGGGUAACGGCCCACCUAGCCUGCGAUGGAUAGGGGUUCUGAGAGGAAGGUCCCCCACAUUGGAACUGAGACACGGUCCAAAACUCCUACGGGAGGCAGCAGUGAGGAAUAUUGGUCAAUGGACGAGAGUCUGAACCAGCCAAGUAGCGUGAAAGGAUGACUGCCCUAUGGGUUGUAAAACUUCUUUUAUACGGGAAUAAAGUGAGGCACGUGUGCCUUUUUUGUAUGUACCGUAUGAAUAAGGAUCGGCUAAACUCCGUGCCAGCAGCCGCGG